This is a small nuclear RNA of Nycticebus coucang (slow loris), 163 nucleotides long. RefSeq annotates it as U1 spliceosomal RNA. The transcript has a single exon. Lineage: Eukaryota; Metazoa; Chordata; Mammalia; Primates; Lorisidae. The record is from RefSeq and is a predicted model, not a curated record.
AAACUUACCUGGCAGGGGAGAUACUAUGAUCACGAAGUGGUUUUCCCAGGGCCAGGUUUAUCCAUUGCACUCCGGAUGUGCUGACCCCUGCGACUUCCCCAAAUGUGGGAAACUCGACAGUGUAAUUUGUGAUAGUGGGGGACUGCGUUCGUGCCUUCCCUGU